Octodon degus (degu) is the source of this 126-nucleotide small nuclear RNA. NCBI's taxonomy places the organism in Eukaryota, Metazoa, Chordata, Mammalia, Rodentia, Octodontidae. The record is from Ensembl.
GUGUUGUACGAGAGGAGAGAAGGUUAGCACUGCCCUUGACAAGGAUGGAAGAGGCCCUCUGGCCUAACCGCACGCCUACGGUCAAGGCAUUGCCACCUACCUCAUGGCAUCUAACCACUGUUUUUA